AGUGAACGCUGGCGGUAGGCCUAACACAUGCAAGUCGAACGGCAGCACAGUAAGAGCUUGCUCUUACGGGUGGCGAGUGGCGGACGGGUGAGGAAUACAUCGGAAUCUACUUUUUCGUGGGGGAUAACGUAGGGAAACUUACGCUAAUACCGCAUACGACCUACGGGUGAAAGCAGGGGAUCUUCGGACCUUGCGCGAUUGAAUGAGCCGAUGUCGGAUUAGCUAGUUGGCGGGGUAAAGGCCCACCAAGGCGACGAUCCGUAGCUGGUCUGAGAGGAUGAUCAGCCACACUGAAACUGAGACACGGUCCAGACUCCUACGGGAGGCAGCAGUGGGGAAUAUUGGACAAUGGGCGCAAGCCUGAUCCAGCCAUACCGCGUGGGUGAAGAAGGCCUUCGGGUUGUAAAGCCCUUUUGUUGAGAAAGAAAAGCAGCAGGUUAAUACCCCGCUGUUCUGACGGUACCCAAAGAAUAAGCACCGGCUAACUUCGU
RNAcentral lists this ribosomal RNA (491 nucleotides) under uncultured bacterium. RNAcentral's name for it is "partial 16S ribosomal RNA". It matches the Rfam family "Bacterial small subunit ribosomal RNA", at positions 29 to 506 of the family's 1533-position model. The record is from RNAcentral.